This 275-nucleotide ribosomal RNA is filed under the name Bacillus subtilis. Its description in RNAcentral is "partial 16S ribosomal RNA". It matches the Rfam family "Bacterial small subunit ribosomal RNA", at positions 68 to 334 of the family's 1533-position model. Lineage: Bacteria; Bacillati; Bacillota; Bacilli; Caryophanales; Bacillaceae. The record is from RNAcentral.
GACAGAUGGGAGCUUGCUCCCUGAUGUUAGCGGCGGACGGGUGAGUAACACGUGGGUAACCUGCCUGUAAGACUGGGAUAACUCCGGGAAACCGGGGCUAAUACCGGAUGGUUGUUUGAACCGCAUGGUUCAAACAUAAAAGGUGGCUUCGGCUACCACUUACAGAUGGACCCGCGGCGCAUUAGCUAGUUGGUGAGGUAACGGCUCACCAAGGCAACGAUGCGUAGCCGACCUGAGAGGGUGAUCGGCCACACUGGGACUGAGACACGGCCCAG